RNAcentral lists this ribosomal RNA (469 nucleotides) under uncultured Anaerolineaceae bacterium. Its description in RNAcentral is "bacterial SSU rRNA". It matches the Rfam family "Bacterial small subunit ribosomal RNA", at positions 896 to 1382 of the family's 1533-position model. Lineage: Bacteria; Bacillati; Chloroflexota; Anaerolineae; Anaerolineales; Anaerolineaceae. The record is from RNAcentral.
GAAACUCAAAUGAAUUGACGGGACCGCACAAGCAGCGGAGCGUGUGGUUUAAUUCGUUGCUACACGAAGAACCUUACCUGGGUUUGACAUAUAGGUUGUAGGGAACUGAAAAGGGACCGACCUUCGGGAGCCUAUACAGGUGUUGCAUGGCUGUCGUCAGCUCGUGUCGUGAGAUGUUCGGUUAAGUCCGCUAACGAGCGCAACCCUCGUCGUAUGUUAUAUGUGUCAUACGAGACUGCCGGUAAAAAGCCGGAGGAAGGUGAGGAUGAUGUCAAGUCAGCAUGACCUUUAUAUCCAGGGCUACACACACGCUACAAUGGUCUGUACAAUGGGUAGCCAAGCCGCGAGGCGGAGCCAAUCCUGAAAGCAGGCCUCAGUUCAGAUUGCAGUCUGCAACUCGACUGCAUGAAGCCGGAGUUGCUAGUAACCGCAGGUCAGCAAUACUGCGGUGAAUACGUUCCCGGGUCUU